Molecule: ribosomal RNA, 237 nt
Filed under: uncultured bacterium
Lineage: Bacteria
Description: partial 16S ribosomal RNA
Rfam family: Bacterial small subunit ribosomal RNA
Source: RNAcentral
UACGUAGGGUGCGAGCGUUGUCCGGAAUUAUUGGGCGUAAAGAGCUCGUAGGCGGUGUGUCACGUCGGCCGUGAAAACCUGCAGCUUAACUGUGGGCGUGCGGUCGAUACGGGCAUCACUGGAGUUCGGCAGGGGAGACUGGAAUUCCUGGUGUAGCGGUGAAAUGCGCAGAUAUCAGGAGGAACACCGGUGGCGAAGGCGGGUCUCUGGGCCGAUACUGACGCUGGAGGAGCGAAA